Molecule: unclassified non-coding RNA, 240 nt
Filed under: uncultured Capnodiales
Lineage: Eukaryota; Fungi; Ascomycota; Dothideomycetes; Capnodiales
Description: sequence contains 5.8S rRNA gene, ITS2, 28S rRNA gene
Source: RNAcentral
AACGCACAUUGCGCCCCUUGGUAUUCCGGGGGGCAUGCCUGUUCGAGCGUCAUUUCACCACUCAAGCCUGGCUUGGUAUUGGGUGCCGCGGGCCUCGCCCGCGCGCCUUAAAGUCUUUCCGGCUGAGCGACCCGUCUCUAAGCGUUGUGGCAACUAUUCGCGGUGAGAUCGGGUGGCGACGGCCGUUAAAUCUUUCUAAAGGUUGACCUCGGAUCAGGUAGGGAUACCCGCUGAACUUAA